This 253-nucleotide ribosomal RNA is filed under the name uncultured prokaryote. RNAcentral describes it as "partial 16S ribosomal RNA". It matches the Rfam family "Bacterial small subunit ribosomal RNA", at positions 524 to 776 of the family's 1533-position model. The record is from RNAcentral.
UACAGAGGGGGCGAGCGUUGUUCGGAAUUACUGGGCGUAAAGGGCGCGUAGGCGGCCUCUUAAGUCGAACGUGAAAUCCCCGGGCUCAACCCGGGAACUGCGUCCGAUACUGGGAGGCUUGAAUCCGGGAGAGGGAUGUGGAAUUCCAGGUGUAGCGGUGAAAUGCGUAGAUAUCUGGAGGAACACCAAUGGCGAAGGCAGCUCGCUGGGACGUGACUGACGCUGAGACGCGAAAGCGUGGGGAGCAAACAGG